This is a long non-coding RNA of Corapipo altera (White-ruffed manakin), 2039 nucleotides long. RefSeq lists it as uncharacterized. Lineage: Eukaryota; Metazoa; Chordata; Aves; Passeriformes; Pipridae. The transcript has 4 exons. The record is from RefSeq and is a predicted model, not a curated record.
GCUGUUUGCGUGGACACAAUGCAAAGACCUACAAUGCAGACCUACAAUGUUGGUGAAGGGCAAUGGAAGAUUGGUCCUGAGUUCCUUAGUUGGACUGGUGCUUUGGCCAUGACAUCUACUUAUGCAGCACAGUGCAUUACGUGAUAUUACAUUCUGUGUUCAUGUUUCUGCUCUAGGCAGUACUACUCAGUUCAAAAUGUUUGUUGAAUGGUUAACAGGGUAACAAUGCAAUAGAAAGUGCUGGCUCAAGUGAAAGAAAAAAAGAUUUUUGAACCCAAAAUUUGGUUUGUAACGGACUUUUUUCACUCUAAUACACCUGUUCUGGUCUGAUUUUUUUAAUUUUAUAAGACCAUUAGUUCUAGCCCAAAAGUAGUUAUUUUGUAUUUGGCUCUGUAUAUAGCAUCACUUCUUUAAUCCUGUAAGCUUCUGGUAUUUUCUCUCUGACAGAACACCCUUCUCGACCCGGACAAGAUGGGUUACCAAACAGACUGAUGGACUGAUACAGCUCAACAGUUCCUAUUUGAUUGCUUGUGUUUUUUCUUCUAUGGUUUUUUUCCUCUGCUUUAGUUACAAUAUAGUAAACAGGAGUUAGGUGUUCCCUAAGCUUUCCUCACCUUCCAGCAUAACUUGGAAAUUCUAGGAAGUAAAUUGUCUGCAUUAUUUCAAAGCGUUCCCUGCUUCAUGAGUGACAGAGUCACAGUGUGUCUGUUUAUCACUGAAGGAAGCUGACAAGUUCUAAAGGUUGACUUCCUCACUAUCUCUUUUGUGGAACUGUCCAAGAAAUGUGAUUCAUGGGGAAAAAUAGCCUAGGGCUAUGAAGACUGAAAUCACCCCUCCACCCUGGUCCCAGGCCCUGACGUGUUUCUUUCCAGGCUGUUUUGAGGAGUUGAACGUCUCCCCUAUAUUUUGUUCAGAGAUUUGUUCUAUAAUUGUGGCUCUUACACCAUAAACUAGCAAAUAAAUUGUGACAGACAGACCUUGGGUAAUUUUAGUAGGAAACUUCAAAAUACAGAAGAAAUAUAAAAAAGGCGUUGCAAAAUAACCUGAUCUAUUGAUAAUAUAUGGUAAGAUUUUUAAAAUAAAAAGCAUAUAGAGUAAAAUAUAAGAGACAAGUAAAUUGCCUUGUCUGUUUAUUGCACUUGAACCUUCUGUUGCCAUUAGAAGUGAAAUGCACAUUGCUAUAAAACCAGUCUUGUUAAGCAGGGAAACACAACUAGCUACAGAGAAGGAAGAUUUCCCAUCUCCCUUGAUUUUUUGAUGUGACAAACUAGCUUGACUGCAUCAAUGAACUGACUCACUAAGAAAAUAUGUGUCAUGUUCCUCACAUAAAUGCUUUCCCUCUAGUAAAUCUCUUUUGCCUCUCUCAGAGUCCUAAAUUAUGCUGAGUUAAUAGUUAUCUGAAGAGAGUGAAUGAAAAAGGCAAGCCUCAGCUGUUGUUGUGUACUAAGCUGAUGUCCACCUAGGUGCAUCAUUUAUUGCUGCCAGGAAGAGGUCCAGUGAUUCAGUACCUCUCUUUCAAAGCUAGAUCAACUUUGUACUCUUUGUAAAUGAGGUACACUUGCACCAGGUGGGCACACCACGAUGUUGCAUGAGUGCUGUUUGUAUUUCUCUGUGGUUAAAGAGCAGUUUGACUAAUGAUUCCAGUAGUUUGGUAGCCUUUAUCAGAUAAAAAAGCCAUGAAAAAUCCCAGUGGCCACUUACAUUAUCCCACUAGAUGGUACAUUCAAAGGAUACCUCUGGGACCAAAUAAAUAAAAACAAGUGAAGAAUAUCUGUAAGGAAAAACAGCAACAAACUUGAAUGUAAUGAAAACAGAAAAUGAGUUAGUUGCUACUUAAUGUUUUCAUAUCAUAAUUCUAGGUCAUUGCACAUCCAAGCUUUUUUAGCCUGUUGAAACAUGAUACUUUGUCUUAAACUUCUUAGUUUUAAUUUCACCACUAUUCAUCUGCUAACUAGUAAAUCGAGAGAGAUUUUUUUUAACCUAUAUCUUGUUGGAGAAGUAAGUCAGAGAUGUUUGGGUGGAGUGAGGAGGGCUAUUAU